CAGGCGGCCCUGCGCAACAGGAAGGUGUGAACCUCGUCAGGUCCGGAAGGAAGCAGCGAUAAGCAUUUUUUUCUGUGUGCCGCGGCAAGUCGCCUGUGG
This 99-nucleotide signal recognition particle RNA is filed under the name Nitrospiraceae bacterium. Its description in RNAcentral is "signal recognition particle sRNA small type". It matches the Rfam family "Bacterial small signal recognition particle RNA". Rfam says of the family: The signal recognition particle (SRP) is a universally conserved ribonucleoprotein involved in the co-translational targeting of proteins to membranes. Lineage: Bacteria; Pseudomonadati; Nitrospirota; Nitrospiria; Nitrospirales; Nitrospiraceae. The record is from RNAcentral. RNAcentral also lists the same sequence under 1 other name.